RNAcentral lists this transfer RNA (73 nucleotides) under Thermoplasmatota archaeon. RNAcentral describes it as "Candidatus Thermoplasmatota archaeon tRNA-Thr". It matches the Rfam family "tRNA". Rfam says of the family: Transfer RNA (tRNA) molecules are approximately 80 nucleotides in length. Lineage: Archaea; Methanobacteriati; Thermoplasmatota. The record is from RNAcentral.
GCCACCAUAGCUCAGCAGGUGGAGCAGCUGACUUGUAAUCAGCAGGUCGGGGGUUCGAAUCCCUCUGGUGGCU